GGGGCUGACUUGGAUUUCGACAGAUUUCUUGUCGCACGGACGGCAUGCCAAGCGCUACUUGUAAAACAGCAACAAAAAUAACUGUAAACAACACAGAUUACGCUCCAGCUUACGCUAAAGUUGCGUGAGUUAAUCUCCUUUUGGAGCUGGACUGAUUAGAAUUUCUAGCGUUUUAAUCACUCCAUAACCUUAAGCUAGACGCUUUUAAAAGGUGGUUCGCCUUUUAAACUAAGAAACAAGAACUCUUGAAACUAUCUCAAGGUUUUAGAAAGUUGGACCAGAGCUAGUUUUAAGGCUAAAAAACUAACCAAUUUUCUAAGCAUUGUAGAAGUUUGUGUUUAGGACAAGAUUUUUGGACUGGGGUUCGAUUCCCCACAGCUCCACCA
This 386-nucleotide transfer-messenger RNA is filed under the name Helicobacter pylori. It matches the Rfam family "transfer-messenger RNA". Rfam says of the family: Bacterial tmRNA, also known as 10Sa RNA or SsrA, is named for its dual tRNA and mRNA-like properties. Its role is to liberate the mRNA from a stalled ribosome. RNAcentral also lists the same sequence under 1 other name. The record is from RNAcentral. Lineage: Bacteria; Pseudomonadati; Campylobacterota; Epsilonproteobacteria; Campylobacterales; Helicobacteraceae.